UUCCUACGGGGCGCAGCAGUGAGGAAUAUUGGUCAAUGGACGCAAGUCUGAACCAGCCAAGUAACGUGCAGGAUGACGGCCCUCCGGGUUGUAAACUGCUUUUAGUUGGGAAUAAAAGGGGGCUCGUGAGCCCCGUAUUGUAUGUACCAUCAGAAAAAGCAUCGGCUAACUCCGUGCCAGCAGCCGCGGUAAUACGGAGGAUGCGAGCGUUAUCCGGAUUUAUUGGGUUUAAAGGGUGCGUAGGCGGUCCGUUAAGUCAGCGGUAAAAUUGCGGGGCUCAACCCUGUCGAGCCGUUGAAACUGGC
RNAcentral lists this ribosomal RNA (305 nucleotides) under uncultured bacterium. RNAcentral describes it as "bacterial SSU rRNA". It matches the Rfam family "Bacterial small subunit ribosomal RNA", at positions 336 to 637 of the family's 1533-position model. The record is from RNAcentral.